GGGAACGUAGCUCGGUGGUAGAGCGCUUGCCUAGCAUGCAUGAAGCCCUGGGUUCAAUUCCUCAAUACCA
RNAcentral lists this transfer RNA (70 nucleotides) under Dipodomys ordii (Ord's kangaroo rat). It matches the Rfam family "tRNA". From Rfam's summary of the family: Transfer RNA (tRNA) molecules are approximately 80 nucleotides in length. Their secondary structure includes four short double-helical elements and three loops (D, anti-codon, and T loops). Further hydrogen bonds mediate the characteristic L-shaped molecular structure. tRNAs have two regions of fundamental functional importance: the anti-codon, which is responsible for specific mRNA codon recognition, and the 3' end, to which the tRNAs corresponding amino acid is attached (by aminoacyl-tRNA synthetases). tRNAs cope with the degeneracy of the genetic code in two manners: having more than one tRNA (with a specific anti-codon) for a particular amino acid; and 'wobble' base-pairing, i.e. permitting non-standard base-pairing at the 3rd anti-codon position. The record is from Rfam by way of RNAcentral. Lineage: Eukaryota; Metazoa; Chordata; Mammalia; Rodentia; Heteromyidae.